Homo sapiens (human) is the source of this 948-nucleotide long non-coding RNA. RefSeq lists it as uncharacterized. The record is from RefSeq and is a predicted model, not a curated record. Lineage: Eukaryota; Metazoa; Chordata; Mammalia; Primates; Hominidae. The transcript is spliced from 2 exons.
UAGUCCAGCGGCACCAUUCCGUACAAGAGCAGUUAUAUUUUAGGAAACUGGGACAAGAGGUCAAGGCUGGGAGUGCUUCGGGGUGAGUAAAGUAAGGUAGUUUGGAAUUAGGCAAAAUGGCAGGAUUAGGAAGGAUGUGCCAUUAAAUUAUACUGCAAAAAUACAAGCUGGGGUAUUGGAGAGGGGUCAGAUAGUAUGAAGAUUGAGCCAAAGAAAUCCCACACAUAUUAUCUCCUCAGCCAGAGCAUACAUCUCAAAUAAUAGAGACAUGCAUCUCACCUAAAAGCGAGAACGAUAUUCAGUUUUCUCAACGAAUAUGUAUUGAGUGACUUCUACUUAUAAGCACUGCAUGAGGUCCUACUGGGAAAAGAAAGACGAGUAAGAGCAAAAAAAAAAAAAAAUAAGCUCUAUGAGAGGAAGAUAAGUCGGGGCAGUGGGGGUUCAAGGGAGAAACAGACAGAAGAAACACAGAAAGUGGCUCUAUAGAGGAGGGGAGCUUUAGAAGAUGAGAACGAUUUCAAUCUGUGGAGGAUGGGGACUUUCCAGACUGAGACAAUGUUAUCUGCAAAUGAAUGGACGUGGGAGAGGCGGAAGACUUUUCAGAGGUUUUGCAUUCUAGACUGGCUGGAUCAUGGUUUUUGGAGACAGGCCUGGAAAUGGAGUGUGGCACUAGAAGAGAAGAACUUCGUUUCCAGGUCAGCAUCACAAGACGCAUGAAAGAGGACUCAUCGCCAGGGCAUGGAGCUGGUGUUUUGAUCAAAAUGGAAUUUGCUCUCAAAUAGACAUGUAUUCACUAAUCUCCUUUCUUUUAAAUAAGUAAAUAAAACAAACACAAAAUCUCUUCCAGCUCAGCUGACUAAGUCCUAGUGGGGAUGACAGCAACAUUCACUUGCAAGAUCCCACAGAGCUAGUGUCCAAAAUGAAAAUAAAUGUGACUUUUCAUAUCAA